RNAcentral lists this ribosomal RNA (932 nucleotides) under uncultured bacterium. RNAcentral's name for it is "bacterial SSU rRNA". It matches the Rfam family "Bacterial small subunit ribosomal RNA", at positions 52 to 1030 of the family's 1533-position model. The record is from RNAcentral.
GGUAUGCAAGUCGAAUGCCGAUUUAUCGGCAUGGCGGACGGGUGAGUAACACGUUGGAACCUGCCCUUAAGUGGGACAUAACCCAUCGAAAGAUGGAAUAAUUUCCCAUAUGUCUUCGGAUGAAAGAUUUAUCGCUUAAGGAGGGUCCUGCGGCCGAUUAGCUAGUUGGUAAGGUAAUGGCUUACCAAGGCAACGAUCGGUAGCUGGUCUGAGAGGAUGAUCAGCCACACUGGAACUGAGACACGGUCCAGACCCCUACGGGGGGCAGCAACUGGGAAUCUUGCGCAAUGGACGAAAGUCUGACGCAGCAACGCCGCGUGCAGGAUGACGGCCUUCGGGUUGUAAACUGCUUUUAUGUGGGAAGAUUAUGACGGUACCACAUGAAUAAGGAUUGGCUAACUCCGUGCCAGCAGCCGCGGUCAUACGGAGGAUCCAAGCGUUACCCGGAAUUAUUGGGCGUAAAGAGUUACGUAGGCGGUCUGUUAAGUGAGAUGCGAAACCGCAGGGCUCAACCCUGCGCUGGUAUUUCAUACUGGCAGACUUGAGAGUGGUAGAGGUGAGUGGAAUUGCUGGUGUAGGAGUGAAAUCCGUAGAUAUCAGCAGGAACACCAAUGGCGAAAGCAGCUCACUGGGCCAUUUCUGACGCUAAAGGUACGAAAGCGUGGGGAGCGAACCGGAUUAGAUACCCGGGUAGUCCACGCCGUAAACGAUGGAUGCUAGCUGUUGGCCGUAUCGACCCGGUCAGUAGCGAAGCUAACGCGUUAAGCAUCCCGCCUGGGGAGUACGAGCGCAAGCUUAAAACUCAAAGGAAUUGACGGGGACCCGCACAAGCGGUGGAGCGUGUGGUUUGAUUCGAUGCUACGCGAAGAACCUUACCAGGGCUUGACAUCUCCGAGAAGGUCUAAGAAAUAAAACCGUGCNCAAGGAAUUCG